Oryza brachyantha (malo sina) is the source of this 227-nucleotide long non-coding RNA. RefSeq lists it as uncharacterized. The record is from RefSeq and is a predicted model, not a curated record. NCBI's taxonomy places the organism in Eukaryota, Viridiplantae, Streptophyta, Magnoliopsida, Poales, Poaceae. The transcript has 2 exons.
ACGUGGUAGGCUAGAGCUACACACCAUGUUAAAACGUUGUGCAUGCACUUAAAAUCCAUCGGGCACAAGACAAAUAUAGCACGACGACAUGCAUCAUCUGCAACCUUGCACCCGCGGGCUGCGGUAGAGGAGACGACGAGCACACCAAGGCGGCAUCGAAGGGGAAGAUUGCCGGCCGUCGACAAUAACCUGGGAGGGCAGGAAACAAAGCAGCUACGAAAGGACAA